UUUCAUACUUGCAACUUGUGUGCCUUUACUUUCUUAGAUUUGUGUAUUGAUAGGAUUGGCUAUAAGUUACAAAACUCUUUGGAACGAGGGUUUCACACUAGAUCAACAUUAGUUGCACGUCUACAUAGUUUAUGUUUUAUGCAAAUAGUGGAAGCUAUAGGAUUAAGGUUUUAAGUUUUGCCAAAUUCACCCCUCCCCCUCUUAGGGUAUACGAGCACCGAUUCCUCACACAAUCCCAUCCUUGAUGAUCCCCUAAAAACGAUAUGGUAGCUGCUCGUGAGCAAGAUUGCUGCUGAUCUCCUCACCUCCAUUGUCGCCGCCGCUGUCGUCGCUGGCUGCCCACGGAAACCCACAAUGUGAGACCCUCUUACCUUCCUCCC
RNAcentral lists this long non-coding RNA (380 nucleotides) under Setaria viridis. RNAcentral's name for it is "long non-coding RNA (SVIR_LNC008808)". Lineage: Eukaryota; Viridiplantae; Streptophyta; Magnoliopsida; Poales; Poaceae. The record is from RNAcentral.